RNAcentral lists this ribosomal RNA (840 nucleotides) under uncultured bacterium. RNAcentral's name for it is "bacterial SSU rRNA". It matches the Rfam family "Bacterial small subunit ribosomal RNA", at positions 29 to 855 of the family's 1533-position model. The record is from RNAcentral.
ACGAACGCUGGCGGCGUGCCUAACGCAUGCAAGUCGAGCGGGGAUGGUAGCUGAAGGUGAUGAUGUGGAAGCUGCCAUCUUAGCGACGGACGGGUGAGUAACACGUGAGCAACCUACCCUCAGCACGGGGAUAACAGCUCGAAAGGGCUGCUAAUACCCGAUGGGACCGCGUCAUUGCCUGGUGAUGUGGUGAAAGGGUGGACGUAACGUCCAUGCCGGCUGGGGAUGGGCUCGCGGCCCAUCACCUAGUUGGUGAGGUAACGGCCUACCGAGGCGACGACCGGUAGCCGGCCUGAUAAGGUGACCGGCCACCUUGGGACUGAGACACGGCCCACACUCCUACCGGAGGCAGCAGCGGGGAAUCUUGCGCACUGGGCGAAAGCCUGACGCAGCGACGCCGCGUGAGGGAAGGAGCCCUUUGGGGUGUAAACCUCUUUGGACGGAGAGAAGUAGGAGAUAGUACCCGUUUAAAAAACCACGGGUAAAUACGUGCCAGCACCCGCGGUAAUAUGUAGGUGGCGAGCGUUGUCUCGAAUUAUUGGGGGUAAAGGGUGCGUAGGCGGCGUGCUAAGUUGAGCGUGAAAUUUUUGGGCUCAACCCAAAAGGAGCGUUCAAGAAUGCCAGGAUUGAGUGCGGGAGAGGACGAAGGAAUUCCCGGUGUAGCGGUGAAAUGCGUAGAUAUAUGGAGGAACACCAGUGGCGAAGGCGGCCGUUUGGACCGUAAAUGACGCUGAGGCACGAAAGCGUGGGGAGCAAACACGAUUAGAUACCCUGGUAGUCCACGCUGUAAACGAUAGAUGUUAGGUGUGGGGGAGAAGAACUCUUCCGUGCCGUAGUAAC